GCGGCGGACGGGUGAGUAACACGUGGGUAACCUGCCUGUAAGACUGGGAUAACUCCGGGAAACCGGGGCUAAUACCGGAUGGUUGUUUGAACCGCAUGGUUCAAACAUAAAAGGUGGCUUCGGCUACCACUUACAGAUGGACCCGCGGCGCAUUAGCUAGUUGGUGAGGUAAUGGCUCACCAAGGCAACGAUGCGUAGCCGACCUGAGAGGGUGAUCGGCCACACUGGGACUGAGACACGGCCCAGACUCCUACGGGAGGCAGCAGUGGUCA
This 272-nucleotide ribosomal RNA is filed under the name Bacillus sp. CM13.1. RNAcentral describes it as "partial 16S ribosomal RNA". It matches the Rfam family "Bacterial small subunit ribosomal RNA", at positions 95 to 357 of the family's 1533-position model. Lineage: Bacteria; Bacillati; Bacillota; Bacilli; Caryophanales; Bacillaceae. The record is from RNAcentral.